AUGGAGUUCUACGAUGACGAGAAGUGGAAGUUCUCCAAGAAGAGCCGGAACAACGGCAGCUGCAGGCGCGUCUCCAGCGGCGGGGGCGGCGGCGGCGACCCGUUCCUCAAGAGGUCGGCCAGCACAAGGGACCAGGCGAUCGGCCGGCGGGCGAGCGCCACCGCGGCCGCCUCGGCGAGCGGGUGCGCGGCGCCUUCGUUCUCGAGCCGGUGCGCGGGGCUGGUGAAGGAGCAGCGGGCGCGCUUCUACAUCAUGCGCCGCUGCGUCACCAUGCUCGUCUGCUGGAAGGACUGCUCGUAG
RNAcentral lists this ribosomal RNA (300 nucleotides) under Triticum aestivum (bread wheat). RNAcentral's name for it is "partial small subunit ribosomal RNA". The record is from RNAcentral. Lineage: Eukaryota; Viridiplantae; Streptophyta; Magnoliopsida; Poales; Poaceae.